AGUCAUAUGCUUGUCUCAAAGAUUAAGCCAUGCAUGUCUAAGUAUAAGCAACUUUAUACUGUGAAACUGCGAAUGGCUCAUUAAAUCAGUUAUGGUUUAUUUGAUGGUACCUUACUACUUGGAUAACCGUAGUAAUUCUAGAGCUAAUACAUGCGGGAAAUCUCAGCGCAAGCUGUGAUGUAUUUGUUAGAUAAGAAACCAACCCUCUUUGAGGUUUGCGUGCCGAGUCAUAAUAACUUGUCGAAUCGCAUGGCUUUACGCCGGCGAUGGUUCAUUCAAAUUUCUGCCCUAUCAGCUUUCGAUGGUAGGAUAGAGGCCUACCAUGGCGUUAACGGGUGAC
Molecule: ribosomal RNA, 340 nt
Filed under: uncultured eukaryote
Lineage: Eukaryota
Description: bacterial SSU rRNA
Rfam family: Eukaryotic small subunit ribosomal RNA
Source: RNAcentral